Long non-coding RNA from Melospiza melodia melodia, 4834 nucleotides. RefSeq lists it as uncharacterized. NCBI's taxonomy places the organism in Eukaryota, Metazoa, Chordata, Aves, Passeriformes, Passerellidae. The transcript has 6 exons. The record is from RefSeq and is a predicted model, not a curated record.
GAAAAAACCACCCACAACCCUCCUCCUCCUCCUGCCCCCUAAAGCAUCGACGGCCACUGAGUGGCCGCCGAUGCUUUAGGGGGCAGGAGGAGGGUUGUGCAUGGGAGGGAAAGAGGGAGGAAAAGAGGAAUGAAGGAGGGAAGGAUGUGCUCAGGAGGGAGGGUUAGCGAAGAAAGGGGGAAUGGAGGAGGGAGGUACGGAGGAGGCAAGCCGGAGGGGCAGGCGGGAGAGGAGGAGAAGAAAGGGGGCAUAAGAGGAAGCAGCACGGAUGGGCGGAGGGGCAGCGACAGAAGAUCGGGCCCUUGCAUAGGUUGCGUUUGGACAGAGAGAGACGAGAGGCCGGCAGCUGCAAACAGCAGAGACAGUAAUGACAUGGUGGCUUCACAAAACUCAACUUUGAAGAAUUUGGUGAUGGCAUAGCAUUACUGAUCAGACAGAGCCUGGACUGGAGCCACAGUGGAAAUCGUGUACUUGGCAAGCAAGCCCCUUCGGCAUUGUUCCACAUGAUCCCAAGUAAACCAAGCAAGAGGUAUUUGACCUGCUUGGAAUCUGUGUAAAAUAUCUAUUGACAACACCAGGGGAACCCGAGCAGUGAUUUCUUUUGUAGCAUCCUCUCUUUGCAAAUGCAUCAGCGUGGGGAAUCUCAGACAGCACAGGACUGGAUUUGGAAUCCUGCCUUCAGGAAGACAAGUAGCAAAAAUGAAUGCUUCAGUUCUGAAUGCCAUGGCCCUAACUUCUCCAGGCCUGAAACACAAAGCUUCCCUUCUUUGUACUGCAUUCAAUUGUACCUGCUUCUCGCUCGCCUGAUGUUCUCCUAGGAUUUUCUCAUGUCAUUACUGUGUUGCAGCUACUAUGAGAAAGCAGACUACCCAUUGUUCAAGAAUUCUUGAAAACAGCGAUGACAAUGCAGUGUUUUAAAUGUUUUAAUUCUAGGACCACUUCACAGAAAAUAUCUGAGAGAGUGAGAAGGGAAACAACUGGGAUAACCAAAGUCAAACCUUCUGUUUCAUGUGAUCAGGGAAUACUUUGUGCAAAGUUCCUGCAGUCCCUGUAUAAAGCUGAGAUAGCUGGCACAGCAAAGAGGUGUGCAUUACCAUCGAUUUCCUUGUGGUUGUACCAGUGUGGCCAUGCAGCAACUCAGAGAAACUCACUUAAUCCAACUGGAAAAAACACUCACUCAGAGAAACUCACUUAAUCCAACUGGAAAAAACACUCACACAAAAUAUAUUUUCUCAGCUAAGUUGUUUCAGCUGACGGUGGUGAUGAAGCAGCACACCCCCAAUACAAGGGGAAGGUGAGAAGAUGUGGCCAGGCACAAACUAGAAUUGCACCCUUUCAGCAGAAGUGAAGAUCAGCUACAAGAGGUGUGACACCUUUUCUUCACUGUGGGGUUAGCAGAACACAUCUACACCUAUUCUCUUUGCUUUCAUGAGGCCCCUUCUUCUUUCUCUCCUUUGUAAGAGGCUCAGUGAUGCUCUGAGGCUGUGCUUGUGUCAUAGCUGGAAAGAGAGGCAUGACAUUUGUACUCCUGAGCUGCCUCUGCUGGCAGCAUGGCCCACAUGAACACCUUAUAGCUGUUACUUAGCUCAGGUUUCAAGCCCAGACUCCACAAUUACCCACAGUGGUUUUCAGCUUCAACCUGUGUACAGGGACAAGUUGACUGAUGGAGGUACUAGGAGGGAAAACAUAAGUAGGAAAUGCAAGCAGGAGAAAUUAGUCUGACCUUAGGACACAUGGGGCAGAGUUACCUUAAGUUAUAACAAGUGAACAAAUAAGCCCAGAAUGAGGACUGUCUCACAAGGACUCAGCAUGAGAUAUGGUAUAUGAGCAGCAUCAGGACAUGUGGUGCCCUUGCAGUGAUUUUAAAGCAUAUAAUUAAAGUUUCAUAGAAUAUGUGGAUGAGCUUAAAAAUAAGCAGUAAGGAUGAAACAGUAACCAUUCUCAAAGCAAUUGUGAAAGUUGAUCCCCUGUCUAUCAUGCUGCUGAUGCAGAUAUUUACAAAGAGAGGCUAAUGCUACUUUAACUGGUGCAAUACAUUAACACUCUCUGGAGAGCUACGAUGGCAUGUGACACAGGUUGCACUAGUAUCCUCUUUGGCCUUGCUCCUAGACAUUUCUCUUAAGACAAAAGCUGAACUGAGUGAUCAGGUGCUAUCAUUUCACUGGGUUUACAAGUCUCACAGUACUCUAUAAUCUGGAGAAGCUCCUCGGCUGGACAUUUCAUAUGCUUAAAGAAUUUCAGGUGUGAACUAUGUCAACCUUUUUUGGUUUUUAAUUGUUCUUCAUUGUAGGCAUUUUUUAACUUAAAAAAAAAAAAAAGAUUCUUGAUGAGCCCAGUAUCUCCCAGUCACAAGUUAAUGACCAUUGUUGCCAAUUCUGCUAUUUGGCUUCCGGGAAGAGGAUUCAUAUGCUAAAAGUUGUGUACUGUGCCAUAGUUUGGGAAGAACUUGUUGGUGUUAGCCCCAGUGUCUGAUCUUCUAAUUUCAGCAGAAGACUCAAACAUCUGAAGAAUGUACCCGGGAUAUGACUCUUCAGCAGACACCAAAUGCGCUCCAGAAAAGCACUGAAAGUACCACUUUAGUAUGAACAAACCUGCUCUACCUACUUGAAAUUUUUAGCCUAUAUGUGAAGGAAUGCAAGAGUCAGCAGUGACUGUAAAUUAUCUCAGUGGCCAAGAAGGCUUUGCUCCCCAUGUCCUUGCUUCCUUCCUUCCUGAUCCACAUGUUCCUCUCUCAAGCACCCAUCCUUCCUUGUUCAGGUUAUAACAGGCUUUGUUGUGAAUUGACGUGACCCACUGCUGACUGAAAUUGUUCCCAAAGAGACAUCAUUAGCUGUGGAACUGGCAUAGUGCAAGCACCAGGAGUGAGUGGUCAAAAAGGGGCAGAAAGGAACGGUGGGAAGGGCAGGUAGCAGUUAGUGCAUCAGCUGUGGAAGAGUUUUGAGUCGGCUUCCUAAAGCUGUGGAACGCCUUGAAGAUGAACAGUCUGUCUUGCAACUAGUAAGGUUCUAUAAACUCUGGUUAAUAAUAUUGCUAAAAUUACUAAUGAAGGCAAAAACUGGAAGGUAAUGCUCUUCAAGCCUGUCUUUGCUGCAGGUAUACCACUGAUAAUGGAGUAAUAUGCAGCUGAAACUUAAUUGGAACACUAAGGAAAGCUUGAGCUAUUUAUGGUAUUUAAUAAUUUAAUAGUACCAAGUGCACUGAUUGUAGUAGUAUUCAUUUUUCUAUUUAAUUUAGUUAUUACUUCUAUUUCUUAAUUAAUAAUGCAAGAGUGUAUUUUUGUGUAGCACUUUUUUGUGAGCAGUUCCCAUUUUGCACCAGUAUUUAAUCAAGAUCUUCCUGCUGUUUGCAAAAAAUUAGUACAUUGCAGUAUAGACACAUUCUGAAAAAUUACUUGAGUCUGUAAUAUAUGAGAUCACUGCAAGGCUCAUAAAGAGGAUCUUAUCACUAAAUGUUUAUUCCAGGAUGUGUAAGAGCCCUCUAAUUUUUACAUUCUUAUGUUUACAACUCUCAGGUAAAAACAGGGAGUUUUAUUUCUCCCACUACAGCUGGGAUUUCAAAGCAUGGAGAUGUUAAAGUCUGUACUCAAAAAGUUAUUUAAGAUAUGGAUCCCAUUUUAUGACCUGCCUAGAAUGCAAAGAAAAGCUUUUGUGGAACAAGCACUGAACUUACAUCUGCCAAAUCCAAGAGGAUCUUCCUUACUACUGGACUUUACUGUCUCACUAAGGUUGCAAUAAAGGGUUCUUUAAAGCUGGGUUUAGAGUACUUUGUUGAGUAGGAAGAAAGAUUUUCUUUUUAAGCUAAGUUUUGAAUGUAGGUCACAGGAGGGCAGAAAGGAUACAAAAUAGCUGCUCAUGCACAUGAUGGCUUUUAUGGGCAAGGAAAAUGAAAGCUGGAAUGUUUUUGGGAAAAAACCCAACUUUAUCCAUGAUAUGAAAACCAAGCUUAAGUUAAGGAAUACUGGGUUGUACUGAAGCCCCAAGGGAUUGAAGUCUGUAGAGAAUAGUCAUCCCACUGGAAAAAUAAAGGAGGUCCUCCAUAGAUUAACUCUAGAAUUUUGCAGUGCUCUAGAACAAGAUGUUGUUAUUUAGAAAACCACUGUGCUGAUAGCCUGUGUGCCUACUCAGAAUGUAUAGGAAAAAAAUAUAAAAUAAUCAAUUUUAAGCCUAUGUCUUAAAUGUGAAGAAAUAAGAUGCUGCAUUUGUGUAAUGGGGUUGCUUUGGUGUAUUGAUGGUAAAUUACUUCUCAGUGUUUAAGAUAAUUUAUGAGUAUAAUCAUGUGUCUAAAUUUUGUACCUCAAUUUUAUAUGAAGUCAUUUUUGUUGAGAUGUUAUUAGUGGACCUGCAUGCAGUUUUUAUGGCUUAGAAAGCAAAUUUAAAAUUUAAGUGCAUAAAAUAAGGAACAAACAUUUUCCAAGGGAACUUGCCCUGACGUGAAAGAAAUUCUUUUGGGGACCUUUAAUCUCCUAUGCUUGAUAUAAGAGACCAGCCUAAAGGAAGAAAAGAAGGUGAAUUCUCAACAGGUGACAUAGACAGAAUAUACUUCAUUAUGACCUGCCUUGUUCUGUGAGAUUUAUGUAUCAUUGGUAACAGGACUGGACUUUAGGUCUUUGCAUGACCUAGUCAGACUAGUUUUAAUUUCCAGAAUAUAGUUUCACUCAAUGAACUUUAAAUAUUUUCAUACUGUAGUAUUCAAAUUUUAAUUUUGUUUUAAUUUUAUGACAUUUUAUUAAUAAAACUGAUUUUAUACAAUUGUAUGGAGAAAAAUGAGUAUUCAAGUGUUGUCAUUUUAGCAGUUCCACAAGUAAUGUAUUUUCAGUUCACAAUAUUUUCUUCUA